RNAcentral lists this ribosomal RNA (119 nucleotides) under Pteropus alecto (black flying fox). RNAcentral also lists the same sequence under 1 other name. The record is from RNAcentral. Lineage: Eukaryota; Metazoa; Chordata; Mammalia; Chiroptera; Pteropodidae.
GUCUACAGCCAUGCUACCCUGAACAAGCCUGAUCCCGUCUGAUCUCGGAAGCUAAGCAGGGUCAGGCCUGGUUGGUACUUGGAUGGGAGACCACCUAGGAAGACCAGGUACUGUAGGCU